This 210-nucleotide long non-coding RNA is filed under the name Setaria italica (foxtail millet). RNAcentral's name for it is "long non-coding RNA (SITA_LNC004922)". Lineage: Eukaryota; Viridiplantae; Streptophyta; Magnoliopsida; Poales; Poaceae. The record is from RNAcentral.
UGAGGAAUGGUCGUGUGAUGAUUUCGUUGUAAUUUUUGGAGGAUUUGGCUAGAGUGGUAACCCAAUUCUUUCGUAGAUCUGUUGGAUUCGUCUGUGCUCUAGGCUUUGGAGCAGAGCUGUGAUGAUUGGUUGUGAGAUGUUGUAGGUUGAGAUCAUGUAAAGAGUUGUAAAUUCUGCUCUAACAUUUCCGUUGAUCAGGUUGCUUUUGUC